RNAcentral lists this ribosomal RNA (250 nucleotides) under uncultured bacterium. Its description in RNAcentral is "partial 16S ribosomal RNA". It matches the Rfam family "Bacterial small subunit ribosomal RNA", at positions 524 to 773 of the family's 1533-position model. The record is from RNAcentral.
UACGGAGGGUGCAAGCGUUAUCCGGAUUCACUGGGUUUAAAGGGUGCGUAGGCGGAUUUGUAAGUCCGUGGUGAAAUCUCUAAGCUUAACUUGGAAAUUGCCGUGGAUACUAUAAGUCUUGAAUAUUGUGGAGGUUAGCGGAAUAUGUCAUGUAGCGGUGAAAUGCAUAGAUAUGACAUAGAACACCAAUUGCGAAGGCAGCUGGCUACACAACUAUUGACGCUGAGGCACGAAAGCGUGGGGAUCAAAC